UACGAGGGGGGCGAGCGUUGUUCGGAAUUAUUGGGCGUAAAGGGCGCGUAGGCGGUGCGGUAAGUCACCUGUGAAACCUCCGGGCUCAACUCGGAGCCUGCAGGCGAAACUGCCGUGCUGGAGUGUGGGAGGGGUGCGUGGAAUUCCCGGUGUAGCAGUGAAAUGCGUAGAGAUCGGGAGGAACACCUGUGGCGAAAGCGGCGCACUGGACCACAACUGACGCUGAGGCGCGAAAGCUAGGGGAG
Molecule: ribosomal RNA, 245 nt
Filed under: uncultured bacterium
Lineage: Bacteria
Description: partial 16S ribosomal RNA
Rfam family: Bacterial small subunit ribosomal RNA
Source: RNAcentral